UUUAUCGGCGAAGGAAAGAAAACUGCCAACACAAACAACAUGACACACGUAUUUGAGGGAGUGUAUGUAAGUGGCAGUGGUGAUGUUUAUUUUCCUUCUAUUUUUUGACACUUUGACCAUGUAAUGUGGAUCCAUUUUGUUAAUGUUAUCUCUAACGAGUCACGGCCUUCUUCUCUACACUUUCUCUUGUGUUUUGUUUGCAGCCAUAAGCUACAUUUCUGGUUUGGAGCGGAAAAAACCACCAAUGGUGUUGUUUACCAUGGAUAACCGUUGCAAAGACUUAGUAUUAUUUGUCAAUGUCUUCUCCUGGAUGUUCAUUUUCAGUGGCCAUUUAUUGUUGGAUGUGAUGUAUGUAGCUGCAAGGCUAUCCUAUAGAUUUAUUUACCUGUGGAUGACACUCAUUAAAUGAAAAUUCGUCACGCCAUUUAAAUUCUUUAAAGAAGAAGUAUUGUUUUUGUCUGUGUAUUUAAUAUAUUAGAUAUUAGUAUUUAUUUAUUUUGUUUAACAUUUUUUAAAGAAAUGUUUUAAUAAAAAUAAAAAUCUUUGAACUAUUACUUUUUAGCAUUGCAUGAGAAAUUGUUUUAUUUAUUCGUUUUAAUUAUACCCCUAAAACAUUAUAACUAUCAUAUAAUUUUCUCUCUUAUAAUAAAAUUUAGAAUAAAUUACACUUAGAUUCUAUGAAAUAUUAUUUGAUGUUUUUUUAUUUUUUUCUAAAAUAACUCUUUUUACAUAUACAAUAUUAGUUAAUAGAUAUAUCUUAGUUGACAACACAUGCUGAAUAAUGAAUUCAUUUCAUUUUUAAAAAAAUUACAUAAAAAUAUGUUAACUGUGUAGAUUUUGUCCACCCCUAAUUUUGUGUAUUUGAUCCCUUACCCCUAAUUUUUUACCCUUUUCUAUUAAUUAUUAAUUUUAUUUUUUAAAUAAAUUACCCUAACUUAAGGUCCUAAAUCUGUAACUAUCAAGGGUCUAAUCAUGAUAGUACCAAAUAAAAAAAACUCGAGUUUUCAUAAACACUACAAAUAAUAAGUCUAAACUUAAAUAUAAAUUCAUGUAAAUGUCUCUUGGCUCCAGCACCAUUUGUCUCUCUAAUAUUCUAAGAGAGGAUAGGAAUAUUAUUGAACUCAAUUCUUGAGGAAUAAAGGUAUAAAAAGGAAAAAGCACAUGAGAUUUUAUUGGGUUAAAGUUAGCAUUUCAAUCUCCAUUUCAUCUAUCAAUUAUGGUUAGUUACCCACUUGUACAUGCCAUUAAAGGAUUGCAUCAUGCCUUCUUGCAUUAUGGUUGUAGUUACUUAACAAACUAAUAACGUUCACCUCUCACAAGUUCAAUGGGCAUUGCACUAUAGAAGCCUCUAUGCGGUACUCUUGAUUCUUUUUGUUCAAUAAAAACAAAACUUGCGACCUAAAGGGAGGAUUCAGGUGGAAUCUUGGGUGCAUGAUUUUGUUAAUGUUUUAUUAUGACACAACAAAGGUUCCCCCAGGUAGUCUUGCUUGAGACAAAGGAGCUUACCUAUUUUUGAUUGUUGUUCACACUUAAUUUGGGUGGUUUGGUCAUGCAUAUUGCGGUAGGGCUUUGAUAUGCUCCAUACCCUUUGCUUUUUUUAGUAAGAAUUUUGUUUAUGAUUUGGCUUUUUUAGUGCAAGGAUCCAUCUAUGAAUUUUCCUUUGUUAUUAUCCCCCAGUUGCUCUUUCUGAUUAGCUUUUUACAAGCCAUUGAAUCUAUAUCUAAUUUAAACCUCACUUCUUUUUUUAAUCAUAUAUUUUUUAUUAGUUGCAGGUUAGCGUUUUUUGCCUAAGCACUAGCCAAUCUCCAUGAAGGUGGACUUCCUCUUUACGACAACUAUGUUGUGUAAUGUUGAUUUUGUUAUUCCUUCUGAGGAUCAUGCAACCUAAUUCUCUUCUUUUAAGUUUGUGGUGGUCUUGUCUUCGAUAGGGG
RNAcentral lists this long non-coding RNA (1931 nucleotides) under Glycine max (soybean). RNAcentral's name for it is "long non-coding RNA (GMAX_LNC003774)". Lineage: Eukaryota; Viridiplantae; Streptophyta; Magnoliopsida; Fabales; Fabaceae. The record is from RNAcentral.